RNAcentral lists this ribosomal RNA (467 nucleotides) under uncultured bacterium. RNAcentral's name for it is "partial 16S ribosomal RNA". It matches the Rfam family "Bacterial small subunit ribosomal RNA", at positions 28 to 506 of the family's 1533-position model. The record is from RNAcentral.
GACGAACGCUGGCGGCGUGCUUAACACAUGCAAGUCGAACGGAAAGGCCCUGCUUUUGUGGGGUGCUCGAGUGGCGAACGGGUGAGUAACACGUGAGUAACCUGCCCUUGACUUUGGGAUAACUUCAGGAAACUGGGGCUAAUACCGGAUAGGAGCUCCUGCUGCAUGGUGGGGGUUGGAAAGUUUCGGCGGUUGGGGAUGGACUCGCGGCUUAUCAACUUGUUGGUGGGGUAGUGGCUUACCAAGGCUUUGACGGGUAGCCGGCCUGAGAGGGUGACCGGCCACAUUGGGACUGAGAUACGGCCCAGACUCCUACGGGAGGCAGCAGUGGGGAAUAUUGCACAAUGGGCGGAAGCCUGAUGCAGCAACGCCGCGUGCGGGAUGACGGCCUUCGGGCUGUAAACCGCUUUCGCCUGUGACGAAGCGUGAGGGACGGUAAUGGGUAAAGAAGCACCGGCUAACUACGU